GACGAACGCUGGCGGCGUGCUUAACACAUGCAAGUCGAGCGGUAAGGCCCCUUCGGGGGUACACGAGCGGCGAACGGGUGAGUAACACGUGGGCGACCUGCCCUCAGCUCUGGGAUAAGCCCGGGAAACUGGGUCUAAUACCGGAUAUGACCUCUCAUCGCAUGGUGGGUGGUGGAAAGUUUUUUCGGCUGAGGAUGGGCCCGCGGCCUAUCAGCUUGUUGGUGGGGUGAUGGCCUACCAAGGCGACGACGGGUAGCCGGCCUGAGAGGGCGACCGGCCACACUGGGACUGAGACACGGCCCAGACUCCUACGGGAGGCAGCAGUGGGGAAUAUUGCGCAAUGGGCGGAAGCCUGACGCAGCGACGCCGCGUGGGGGAUGACGGCCUUCGGGUUGUAAACCUCUUUCGACCUUGACGAAGGCCUUCGGGUUGACGGUAGGGGUAGAAGAAGCACCGGCCAACUACGUGC
Molecule: ribosomal RNA, 469 nt
Filed under: uncultured Pseudonocardiaceae bacterium
Lineage: Bacteria; Bacillati; Actinomycetota; Actinomycetes; Pseudonocardiales; Pseudonocardiaceae
Description: bacterial SSU rRNA
Rfam family: Bacterial small subunit ribosomal RNA
Source: RNAcentral